Small nuclear RNA from Cyprinus carpio carpio, 56 nucleotides. Its record names the gene U7. It matches the Rfam family "U7 small nuclear RNA". From Rfam's summary of the family: Animal histone pre-mRNAs are spliced by a different mechanism than nuclear pre-mRNAs and self-splicing introns. The record is from Ensembl. NCBI's taxonomy places the organism in Eukaryota, Metazoa, Chordata, Actinopteri, Cypriniformes, Cyprinidae.
UAGAAAUUUGCUCUUUUAGUAUUUGUCCAGUAGGUUUCCUUUAAAAGGAAGCCCCU